This 252-nucleotide ribosomal RNA is filed under the name uncultured bacterium. Its description in RNAcentral is "partial 16S ribosomal RNA". It matches the Rfam family "Bacterial small subunit ribosomal RNA", at positions 524 to 776 of the family's 1533-position model. The record is from RNAcentral.
UACGUAGGGUGCGAGCGUUGUCCGGAAUUACUGGGCGUAAAGAGCUCGUAGGUGGUUUGUCGCGUUGUCCGUGAAAACUCACAGCUUAACUGUGGGCGUGCGGGCGAUACGGGCAGACUUGAGUACUGCAGGGGAGACUGGAAUUCCUGGUGUAGCGGUGGAAUGCGCAGAUAUCAGGAGGAACACCGGUGGCGAAGGCGGGUCUCUGGGCGAUACUGACGCUGAGGAGCGAAAGCGUGGGGAGCAAACAGG